UCCUCCCACCACCCCACGCUCUCAUUUCUUCUUAAGCUUAAAAAGCCCAGUACCAGAGUCUUAUCUGCAUUUUUUUUAUCAAACUUCACAUCAAAACAAUUGUUAUCUUCAUCAGAAGCCAUGGUCUCCACUCCAUAUUGUCUCCUGCUAGUACUUCUGGGACUCUCCUGCCUUCAGUCCAGCACAACGGCACAAAAUGCAAACGGGGCAUCAGUAUGCUGUUUUGAAUUCCACAAAAUACCAUUCCCUGCAGGAAAAGUUGCCUCAUACCAAGAUACAAGAAUUGACUGUCCAAUUCCUGGAGUCAUUUUUACGACAAAAAAGGAUUUUCGUUUUUGUGCCGAGCCGGAGGUAGACUGGGU
Molecule: long non-coding RNA, 362 nt
Organism: Clarias gariepinus (North African catfish)
Lineage: Eukaryota; Metazoa; Chordata; Actinopteri; Siluriformes; Clariidae
Exons: 3
Source: RefSeq, a predicted model, not a curated record